CCAAUACUUGAGAAGAAUCUAGGAUAAGUAAUCCUGCAUACUCCCUCCAAUCAGAUCAUGAAUUGAUAAUUUGUGAUAAAGAGGCAUCUAUUUUAAUGGUUAACCAGGGUUGGGACGUGCCUUUGUACGGUGAAGACAGUACCUCAGAACAGUUCAGAAUUUGCCUGGAAAAAGCAGAGUAUAUAAUCCAUCGUCAAGAAGUAGAUUACUCCUGAGCAUUUGUGAAUCUAUCCUUCAUGCUGGAUACAACUGUACCGCAGAUUGAGAUGAACAAAAGAAAAAGAUGAAAGAAUCGCCAGACACCUGAUAUUCCCCCGAAGAACUGUGUUGUAUGUGUCUUUUCUGCUCACAUCGAAGUGUAAAGAGAGUAACCCCAAGAGGCUAUAUGAACAACCUAUAUCCUGCCAAGCCCAAAACUCCAAGAGUUGAUUCUACUACAUCAGCAACCCGAAAGUCUGAACAGUUGGAUAUAUGUAUCGAUAAGGCAAGAGUUGAUUAUACUGGAUCAGCAAUGCGAAAGUCUGAACAUUUGGAUACAUUUGUGAUUAGUAUCAAUAAGGCAAGAGUUGACACUACUAAAUCAACAACUUAAGCGUCUGAUCUGCAGUUUGAUGCAAGAGAGUAAUACCGAUAAAAAUACAACAGUUUGAUCUGAAUAGUUCUAGAUGAUCCUACGGCUAGUCCUGCCGCUCCAGUAUCAACAAUUGCGGCCACUUUUUUGUUGGACUCGAACAAAAAAAAGGAAAAGAAAUAGAAUGGGAUCCAAGAAGAAAGUUGAAUCUCAGGAUGGUUACGGAUGCUGAGAAGACCGUCGCGACAUCCAGUAAGCGAAAGAAGAAGUCUUGGACUGGUUUGAAGGAAAUUGAUGAAAGUCAGAGUAGCAAUAGAAGGAAGCAUUCAAUAGCUUCCAACAACUAGGGUUAAGUUUUUCUCCGAACUAAUAUUUAGUUCAGGUUUGAAGUUUUAAACUAAAAUUCAUUGUGUAGGAUUUUGGCGGCAACUAAAAUUUCAUUUUUUUUAUGUUAGUUGUUACUACUUUUAAUUUUCUA
This is a long non-coding RNA of Capsicum annuum, 1049 nucleotides long. RefSeq lists it as uncharacterized. NCBI's taxonomy places the organism in Eukaryota, Viridiplantae, Streptophyta, Magnoliopsida, Solanales, Solanaceae. The record is from RefSeq and is a predicted model, not a curated record. The transcript is spliced from 2 exons.